GCCGGGCGCAUUGGCGUGUGGCUGUAGUCCCAGCUACUCGGGAGGCUGAGGUGGGAGGAUCGCUUGAGCCCAGGAAUUCUGGGCUGCAGUGCGCUAUGCCGAUCGGGUGUCCGCACCAAGUUCAGCAACAAUAUGGUGACCUCCCGGGAAUGGGGCACCACCAGGUUGCCUAAGGAGGAGUGAACCGACCCAGGUCAGAAAUGGAGCAGGUCAAAACUCCCGUGCUGAUCAGUAGUGGGAUCGUGCCUGUGAAUAGUCACUGAACUCCAGCCUGGGCAACAUAGCGAGACCCCCAUCUCU
RNAcentral lists this signal recognition particle RNA (300 nucleotides) under Aotus nancymaae (Ma's night monkey). Its description in RNAcentral is "Metazoan signal recognition particle RNA (ENSANAG00000012572.1)". It matches the Rfam family "Metazoan signal recognition particle RNA". From Rfam's summary of the family: The signal recognition particle (SRP) is a universally conserved ribonucleoprotein. It is involved in the co-translational targeting of proteins to membranes. The eukaryotic SRP consists of a 300-nucleotide 7S RNA and six proteins: SRPs 72, 68, 54, 19, 14, and 9. Lineage: Eukaryota; Metazoa; Chordata; Mammalia; Primates; Aotidae. The record is from RNAcentral.